UCCAUUAUAGUUCUUGGCCUUGCCGGGGGAGUUCUUGGCCUCAGUUUUUGUUACUAUUUGCUUUGACAAAUGAUUUGUCAAUCUCUUAUGGUCCUCGUUGACUCAUUAUGUUAUAAACACCAAUUCAGCUGAAGUUGCACAUACGCCUAGUCGAGUCAGCAGCCAGGUCAAUAUUCCUCAAGUAACAGAAAGCGUGAGACACAGCACAAGA
This 211-nucleotide long non-coding RNA is filed under the name Solanum tuberosum (potato). RNAcentral describes it as "long non-coding RNA (STUB_LNC008395)". Lineage: Eukaryota; Viridiplantae; Streptophyta; Magnoliopsida; Solanales; Solanaceae. The record is from RNAcentral.